Xyrauchen texanus (razorback sucker) is the source of this 457-nucleotide long non-coding RNA. RefSeq lists it as uncharacterized. The record is from RefSeq and is a predicted model, not a curated record. The transcript has 3 exons. Lineage: Eukaryota; Metazoa; Chordata; Actinopteri; Cypriniformes; Catostomidae.
AGCGAGGGAGCGGGACGCGAGCACGCCAGCGGAGCGCAAGCGUGCGCGCCCGCGGAAGCGGAGGAGCUGGGCAUCUUCUGAAAUCUGUAUUUAAUAAUUUACAGUCGACUGAAGAGGUGCAGAUCCAGAUGCAUGAUGGUUUUCAGUCGUGUGAGUCCACAGCAGUGAACAGAACUGCAGAACAACAUAGUGACAUUUAAUGCCGUCACUGAGCAGAUUCUGGAAAGUUCAGUGAUUUCUCAAAGUCUUCAGUGCUGUCAACAGUUCAAGAUGUUCUUAUAAUAACUGUCAAAUAAAUGGGUUUAUGGGCUUUUGACUUUAUAGAUAAAAAGAGUGAAGCUGCGAGUCCAUGAACACAAUCACUGCAACAUCUGACACUUCCUUUUCCCUUCUGAACUAUUUGUUCUAGAAACACAAUUCAUUUUGUCUUUGGAUUUAACAGAUUUAAUAAAUGUUG